GAUGAACGCUGGCGGCGUGCUUAACACAUGCAAGUCGAACGGAAAGGCCCAAGCUUGCUUGGGUACUCGAGUGGCGAACGGGUGAGUAACACGUGGGUGAUCUGCCCUGCACUUCGGGAUAAGCCUGGGAAACUGGGUCUAAUACCGGAUAGGACGAUGGUUUGGAUGCCAUUGUGGAAAGUUUUUUCGGUGUGGGAUGAGCUCGCGGCCUAUCCGCUUGUUGGUGGGGUAAUGGCCUACCAAGGCGUCGCCGGGUAGCCGGCCUGAGAGGGUGUACGGCCACAGUGGGACUGAGAGACGGCCCAGACGCCGACGGGAGGCAGCAGGGGGGAAGAGUGCACAAGGGGCGCAAGCCGGAUGCAGCGACGCCGCGGGGGGGAGGACGGCCUUCGGGUUGGAAACGCCGUUCGCGAGGGACGAAGCGUUUUGUGACGGUACCUGGAGAAGAAGCACCGGCUAACUACGUG
RNAcentral lists this ribosomal RNA (467 nucleotides) under uncultured bacterium. Its description in RNAcentral is "partial 16S ribosomal RNA". It matches the Rfam family "Bacterial small subunit ribosomal RNA", at positions 28 to 507 of the family's 1533-position model. The record is from RNAcentral.